CAGGGAUGUUUGCAGUGGAACCGGAACCAGUUGCUGAAGUAAAGGUAGAUCUAGAUGCAGAAGAGGAAGAGGAGGAGGAAGAGGAGGAAGAGGAGGAAGAGGAAGGAUAUUAUGAUGAUGAUGAGGAAGAAGAGGAAGAAGAAGAGGAGGAUGAAGAGGAUGAAGAUGAGGAUGAAGAAGAAGAAACUUAUGAUGAGGAAGAGGAAGAAGUUGAGGAGGAGGAAGAGGAGGGGGACGAUGUCGAGGAAGAGGAGGAGGAAGCAGCAGUUGAGGAGGAGGAGGAGGAGGAUGAUAAUGGUGAGGGGGAUGAUGAAGUCGAGGAGAUAGAGGCUGCUGAUGAUGAUGAUGAGGAGGAGGAAGAGCCCAAGGAGGAAGAUGCUUCUUCAGAGGAUGAGAAGGAUGAAGAGGAAGAAGAAGAGGUUGCUCCAGUGGAGGCGGCGGCUGGGGCUGAUAAUAUGAAAGAGGAAGAGGAAGCUCCAGAGGUGACUGGUGAUGAUGAUGAUGAUGAAGAGGAGGAAGAGGCUGCUCCAGGGGUGGCUACUGUUACUGAAGCUGAUGAUGAGGAAGAUGAUGGGGAGAAGGAAGAUUCUGCUGAGGUCGAAACUGAGGCUGAUGAUGAUUAUGAAGAAAUAAAAGAAGAAAAGCAAGGGGCUCCCCUUGUGGUUGAAGUUGACGACACAGAUGCAAAAGCUCCAGCUAGAGAUGAUGGUACUGAGGAUGACACAGAGACUGGAGCUGAACCGGAACCCAUUACCGACAAAGAAUCCAGGGAUGCUCCCGUUUCCACUGCCGAUGUUGACCAUGAUGACCAAGAGGAGGACAUUGAUGACACAGGAGCAAAUAUUGUUGUUGACAGUGAGGAUACAGGAGAGACGACUGGUGAUGUCACUGACAUUUCUGAUGACACGGUCGAUGAUGACGAUGAUGAGUCGAAGGAUGCCACUGAAAAAAAUGCUGAAGAAGAUGAUGACGAUGAGGAAAUCCCACGAAAAGUAAUUGCUAUUUCCACUCCAGAGGAAGAUGAUCUAUCCAAAGAUGAGGAUGAUGAUGAUGACAUUGAUGAACGUCUUUUGACAGGUAUUGAACAUUCAGCAAGGAACUGCCACAUAUCUCAUUGCAGGUGCAUACGUUUCAAAGAAUUAAGGAAAGGCAGAUCCCUACACUAUAAGGCAGAUCCAUACACUGAUCUAGCUAAUAUCACUGCAGUUGAUUGAACCAUUACGCAAACUUCUUGGCCUAAGUCAGCUGCUUCGGCGAGAAUGGAAGUUAAGUUUGUACUGUACCUUUUUGUGCGUUGUUGUCAUUGCACCACCCACAUCCAGUCAGUGUGUCAGAUGAGGUUGAGCAAAGAACCUUUAUUCUUUUCCUUACUUGACCUUCUUUUCAUUAGUUCCAAUCCAAAGUACAGCUUCUGAUCCAAAGUACUGAACGGAUGUGGGUGGACUGAUGUCUGUGAAAAGGGUCCAAUUAAAAAUUUUUGAGAAAAACCGACGGCCAUGAGGCCCACUCAAAAGGCUUAAAUAUUUAAGUGUUACUUGCAUGGGUGGAUUUCCCGUUCCUUUCAAGACUGGUACUUAAGCCAAGUCAUUCUGCUGUUGUGUCCUCAUCAUUCAUUACUCUUAUAAC
Long non-coding RNA from Esox lucius (northern pike), 1626 nucleotides. The record is from Ensembl. NCBI's taxonomy places the organism in Eukaryota, Metazoa, Chordata, Actinopteri, Esociformes, Esocidae.